UACGUAGGGAGCGAGCGUUGUCCGGAUUCAUUGGGCGUAAAGAGCUCGUAGGCGGUUCAGUAAGUCGGGUGUGAAAUCUCCGUGCUCAACACGGAGCGGCCACCUGAUACUGCUGUGACUCGAGUCCGGUAGGGGAGUGUGGAAUUCCCGGUGUAGCGGUGAAAUGCGCAGAUAUCGGGAAGAACACCCGUGGCGAAGGCGGUUCUCUGGGACGGUACUGACGCUGAGACGCGAAAGCGUGGGGAGCGAACAGG
RNAcentral lists this ribosomal RNA (254 nucleotides) under uncultured bacterium. RNAcentral describes it as "partial 16S ribosomal RNA". It matches the Rfam family "Bacterial small subunit ribosomal RNA", at positions 524 to 776 of the family's 1533-position model. The record is from RNAcentral.